AAAAGAUGGUUCUGCUAUCACUCUUGGAUGGACCUGCGGUGCAUUAGCUAGUUGGUAAGGUAACGGCUUACCAAGGCAAUGAUGCAUAGCCGAGUUGAGAGACUGAUCGGCCACAUUGGGACUGAGACACGGCCCAAACUCCUACGGGAGGCAGCAGUAGGGAAUCUUCCACAAUGGACGCAAGUCUGAUGGAGCAACGCCGCGUGAGUGAAGAAGGGUUUCGGCUCGUAAAGCUCUGUUGGUAGUGAAGAAAGAUAGAGGUAGUAACUGGCCUUUAUUUGACGGUAAUUACCUAGAAAGUCACGGCUAACUACGUGCCAGCAGCCGCGGUAAUACGUAGGUGGCAAGCGUUGUCCGGAUUUAUUGGGCGUAAAGCGAGUGCAGGCGGUUCAAUAAGUCUGAUGUGAAAGCCUUCGGCUCAACCGGAGAAUUGCAUCAGAAACUGUUGAACUUGAGUGCAGAAGAGGAGAGUGGAACUCCAUGUGUAGCGGUGGAAUGCGUAGAUAUAUGGAAGAACACCAGUGGCGAAGGCGGCUCUCUGGUCUGCAACUGACGCUGAGGCUCGAAAGCAUGGGUAGCGAACAGGAUUAGAUACCCUGGUAGUCCAUGCCGUAAACGAUGAGUGCUAAGUGUUGGGAGGUCUCCGCCUCUCA
RNAcentral lists this ribosomal RNA (653 nucleotides) under uncultured bacterium. Its description in RNAcentral is "bacterial SSU rRNA". It matches the Rfam family "Bacterial small subunit ribosomal RNA", at positions 202 to 842 of the family's 1533-position model. The record is from RNAcentral.